UGGGUCCUACGGGAGGCAGCAGUGGGGAAUAUUGCACAAUGGGGGAAACCCUGAUGCAGCAACGCCGCGUGGGUGAAGAAGUAUUUCGGUAUGUAAAGCCCUAUCAGCAGGGAAGAGAAUGACGGUACCUGACUAAGAAGCCCCGGCUGACUACGUGCCAGCAGCCGCGGUAAUACGUAGGGGGCAAGCGUUAUCCGGAUUUACUGGGUGUAAAGGGAGCGUAGACGGAAAGGCAAGUCAGAAGUGAAAACCCAAGGCUCAACCAUGGGACUGCUUUUGAAACUGUCAAACUAGAGUACGGGAGG
This 305-nucleotide ribosomal RNA is filed under the name uncultured bacterium. Its description in RNAcentral is "bacterial SSU rRNA". It matches the Rfam family "Bacterial small subunit ribosomal RNA", at positions 333 to 655 of the family's 1533-position model. The record is from RNAcentral.